GGGUUGUGAGGUUAAGCGACUAAGCGUACACGGUGGAUGCCCUGGCAGUCAGAGGCGAUGAAGGACGUGCUAAUCUGCGAUAAGCGUCGGUAAGGUGAUAUGAACCGUUAUAACCGGCGAUUUCCGAAUGGGGAAACCCAGUGUGAUUCGUCACACUAUCAUUAACUGAAUCCAUAGGUUAAUGAGGCGAACCGGGGGAACUGAAACAUCUAAGUACCCCGAGGAAAAGAAAUCAACCGAGAUUCCCCCAGUAGCGGCGAGCGAACGGGGAGGAGCCCAGAGCCUGAAUCAG
This 292-nucleotide ribosomal RNA is filed under the name Escherichia coli. RNAcentral's name for it is "partial 23S ribosomal RNA". It matches the Rfam family "Bacterial large subunit ribosomal RNA", at positions 1 to 284 of the family's 2925-position model. Lineage: Bacteria; Pseudomonadati; Pseudomonadota; Gammaproteobacteria; Enterobacterales; Enterobacteriaceae. The record is from RNAcentral.